This 408-nucleotide ribosomal RNA is filed under the name uncultured bacterium. RNAcentral's name for it is "partial 16S ribosomal RNA". It matches the Rfam family "Bacterial small subunit ribosomal RNA", at positions 28 to 526 of the family's 1533-position model. The record is from RNAcentral.
GACGAACGCUGGCGGCGUGCCUAAUACAUGCAAGUCGAGCGAAGCGGCGGAUGGGUGAGUAACGCGUGGGUAACCUGCCCUUAAGUCUGGGAUACCAUUUGGAAACAGAUGCUAAUACCGGAUACUAAAGGAUGGACCUGCGAUGCAUUAGCUAGUUGGUAAGGUAACGGUUUACCAAGGCGAUGAUGCAUAGCCGAGUUGAGAGGCUGAUCGGCCACAUGGGGACUGAGACACUGCCUAAACUCCGACGGGAGGCAGCAGGAGGGAAUCUUCCACAAUGGACGCAAGUCUGAUGGAGCAACGACGCGGAAGUGAAGAAGGUUUUCGGACCGUAAAGCUCUGUUGUUGGUGAAGCGGUAAUCAACCAGAAAGUCACGGCUAACUACGUGCCAGUCGCCGCGGUAAUAC